Molecule: ribosomal RNA, 556 nt
Filed under: uncultured bacterium
Lineage: Bacteria
Description: bacterial SSU rRNA
Rfam family: Bacterial small subunit ribosomal RNA
Source: RNAcentral
GCCUAACACAUGCAAGUCGAGCGGCAGCACAAGUAAGUUUACUUAUGAGGUGGCGAGCGGCGGACGGGUGAGUAAUGCCUAGGGAUCUGCCCAGUCGAGGGGGAUAACAGUUGGAAACGACUGCUAAUACCGCAUACGCCCUACGGGGGAAAGAGGGGGACCUUCGGGCCUCUCGCGAUUGGAUGAACCUAGGUGGGAUUAGCUAGUUGGUGAGGUAAUGGCUCACCAAGGCGACGAUCCCUAGCUGUUCUGAGAGGAUGAUCAGCCACACUGGGACUGAGACACGGCCCAGACUCCUACGGGAGGCAGCAGUGGGGAAUAUUGCACAAUGGGGGAAACCCUGAUGCAGCCAUGCCGCGUGUGUGAAGAAGGCCUUCGGGUUGUAAAGCACUUUCAGUAGGGAGGAAAGGGUGAGUCUUAAUACGGCUCAUCUGUGACGUUACCUACAGAAGAAGGACCGGCUAACUCCGUGCCAGCAGCCGCGGUAAUACGGAGGGUCCGAGCGUUAAUCGGAAUUACUGGGCGUAAAGCGUGCGCAGGCGGUUUGUUAAGCGAG